This 397-nucleotide ribosomal RNA is filed under the name uncultured bacterium. RNAcentral describes it as "partial 16S ribosomal RNA". It matches the Rfam family "Bacterial small subunit ribosomal RNA", at positions 523 to 918 of the family's 1533-position model. The record is from RNAcentral.
AUACGUAGGGGGCAAGCGUUAUCCGGAUUUACUGGGUGUAAAGGGAGCGUAGACGGAAAGCCAAGUCUGAUGUGAAAGGUGGGGGCUCAACCCCCAAACUGCAUUGGAAACUGGUUUGCUAGAGUGUCGGAGAGGUAAGUGGAAUUCCUAGUGUAGCGGUGAAAUGCGUAGAUAUUAGGAGGAACACCAGUGGCGAAGGCGGCUUACUGGACGAUUACUGACGUUGAGGCUCGAAAGCGUGGGGAGCAAACAGGAUUAGAUACCCUGGUAGUCCACGCGGUAAACGAUGAAUACUAGGUGUCGGGUGGCAACAGCCAUUCGGUGCCGCAGCAAACGCAAUAAGUAUUCCACCUGGGGAGUGCGUUCGCAAGAAUGAAACUCAAAGGAAUUGACGGGG